GGCCAGACUCCUACGGGAGGCAGCAGUGAGGAAUAUUGGUCAAUGGGCGGAAGCCUGAACCAGCCAAGUCGCGUGAGGGAUUAAGGCCCUGCGGGUCGUAAACCUCUUUUGCCGGGGAGCAGUGGUCCGGACGCGUCCGGACCGGGAGAGUACCCGGAGAAAAAGCAUCGGCUAACUCCGUGCCAGCAGCCGCGGUAAUACGGAGGAUGCGAGCGUUAUCCGGAUUUAUUGGGUUUAAAGGGUGCGCAGGCGGCGAGUUAAGUCAGCGGUAAAAUUUCGGGGCUCAACCCCGACGGGCCGUUGAAACUGGCUUGCUAGAGUGGGCGAGAAGUAUGCGGAAUGCGUGGUGUAGCGGUGAAAUGCAUAGAUAUCACGCAGAACUCCGAUUGCGAAGGCAGCAUACCGGCGCCCAACUGACGCUCAGGCACGAAAGCGUGGGUAUCGAACAGGAUUAGAUACCCCCGUAA
Molecule: ribosomal RNA, 467 nt
Filed under: uncultured bacterium
Lineage: Bacteria
Description: bacterial SSU rRNA
Rfam family: Bacterial small subunit ribosomal RNA
Source: RNAcentral